GCUGGGCGUGGUGUCACACACCUGUAAUCCCAGCGACUCAGGAGGCUGAGGCAGGAGGAUUGUGAUUUCAAAGCCAGCCUCAGCAACUUAGCAAGACCCUGUCUCUA
RNAcentral lists this small RNA (107 nucleotides) under Marmota monax (woodchuck). The record is from RNAcentral. Lineage: Eukaryota; Metazoa; Chordata; Mammalia; Rodentia; Sciuridae.